RNAcentral lists this ribosomal RNA (465 nucleotides) under Vreelandella stevensii. RNAcentral's name for it is "partial 16S ribosomal RNA". It matches the Rfam family "Bacterial small subunit ribosomal RNA", at positions 338 to 795 of the family's 1533-position model. The record is from RNAcentral. Lineage: Bacteria; Pseudomonadati; Pseudomonadota; Gammaproteobacteria; Oceanospirillales; Halomonadaceae.
CCUACGGGCGGCUGCAGUGGGGAAUAUUGGACAAUGGGGGCAACCCUGAUCCAGCCAUGCCGCGUGUGUGAAGAAGGCCCUCGGGUUGUAAAGCACUUUCAGUGAGGAAGAACGCCUGGUGGUUAAUACCCAUCAGGAAAGACAUCACUCACAGAAGAAGCACCGGCUAACUCCGUGCCAGCAGCCGCGGUAAUACGGAGGGUGCGAGCGUUAAUCGGAAUUACUGGGCGUAAAGCGCGCGUAGGUGGCUUGAUAAGUCGGUUGUGAAAGCCCCGGGCUCAACCCGGGAACGGCAUCCGGAACUGUCAAGCUAGAGUGCAGGAGAGGAAGGUAGAAUUCCCGGUGUAGCGGUGAAAUGCGUAGAGAUCGGGAGGAAUACCAGUGGCGAAGGCGGCCUUCUGGACUGACACUGACACUGAGGUGCGAAAGCGUGGGUAGCAAACAGGAUUAGAUACCCCGGUAGUC